UUCAGAUAUGGAGACAUGGUGCCCAAGACGAUUGCAGGAAAGAUCUUCGGUUCCAUCUGCUCACUGAGCGGUGUCCUCGUCAUUGCCCUGCCGGUCCCUGUGAUCGUUUCCAAC
Molecule: regulatory RNA element, 114 nt
Organism: Ovis aries (sheep)
Lineage: Eukaryota; Metazoa; Chordata; Mammalia; Artiodactyla; Bovidae
Rfam family: Potassium channel RNA editing signal
About the family: This family represents a group of sequences related to the human potassium channel Kv1.1 hairpin element which directs the efficient modification of an adenosine to inosine by an adenosine deaminase acting on RNA (ADAR). The ADAR modification causes an isoleucine/valine recoding event which lies in the ion-conducting pore of the potassium channel. It is thought that this editing event targets the process of fast inactivation and allows a more rapid recovery from inactivation at negative potentials.
Source: Rfam